RNAcentral lists this ribosomal RNA (662 nucleotides) under uncultured euryarchaeote. RNAcentral describes it as "bacterial SSU rRNA". It matches the Rfam family "Archaeal small subunit ribosomal RNA", at positions 593 to 1252 of the family's 1478-position model. Lineage: Archaea; Methanobacteriati; Methanobacteriota. The record is from RNAcentral.
UUGGGACCGGAAGGCUCGAGGGGUACGUCCGGGGUAGGAGUGAAAUCCUGUAAUCCUGGACGGACCGCCGAUGGCGAAAGCACCUCGAGAAGACGGAUCCGACAGUGAGGGACGAAAGCUAGGGUCUCGAACCGGAUUAGAUACCCGGGUAGUCCUAGCCGUAAACAAUGUUCACUAGGUGUGGCACAGGCUACGAGCCUGUGCUGUGCCGUAGGGAAGCCGAGAAGUGAACCGCCUGGGAAGUACGUCCGCAAGGAUGAAACUUAAAGGAAUUGGCGGGGGAGCACUACAACCGGAGGAGCCUGCGGUUUAAUUGGACUCAACGCCGGACAUCUCACCAGCUCCGACUACAGUAAUGACGGUCAGGUUGAUGACCUCGCCACGAGCUGUAGAGAGGAGGUGCAUGGCCGCCGUCAGCUCGUACCGUGAGGCGUCCUGUUAAGUCAGGCAACGAGCGAGACCCACGCACCUAAUUGCCAGCAGCAGUUCCGACUGGCUGGGUACAUUAGGUGGACUGCCAGUGCCAAACUGGAGGAAGGAAUGGGCAACGGUAGGUCAGUAUGCCCCGAAUGAGCUGGGCUACACGCGGGCUACAAUGGCCGAGACAAUGGGUUGCCACCUCGAAAGAGGGCGCUAAUCUCCGAAACUCGGUCGUAGUUCGG